Molecule: ribosomal RNA, 305 nt
Filed under: uncultured bacterium
Lineage: Bacteria
Description: bacterial SSU rRNA
Rfam family: Bacterial small subunit ribosomal RNA
Source: RNAcentral
UACUCCUACGGGGGGCAGCAGUGGGGAAUAUUGGGCAAUGGGCGCAAGCCUGACCCAGCAACGCCGCGUGAAGGAAGAAGGCUUUCGGGUUGUAAACUUCUUUUGUCGGGGAACAAAGGCGGAGACGCGUCUCCGGAUGAGUGUACCCGAAGAAAAAGCAUCGGCUAACUCCGUGCCAGCAGCCGCGGUAAUACGGAGGAUGCGAGCGUUAUCCGGAUUUAUUGGGUUUAAAGGGUGCGCAGGCGGGAGAUCAAGUCAGCGGUAAAAUGUCGGGGCUCAACCCCGGCCGGCCGUUGAAACUGGUU